RNAcentral lists this unclassified non-coding RNA (330 nucleotides) under soil metagenome. Its description in RNAcentral is "partial contains 5.8S ribosomal RNA, internal transcribed spacer 2, and large subunit ribosomal RNA". The stretch from base 1 to 120 matches the Rfam family "5.8S ribosomal RNA", at positions 35 to 154 of the family's 154-position model. The record is from RNAcentral.
GAUGAAGAACGUAGCGAAAUGCGAUAAGUAAUGUGAAUUGCAGAAUUCAGUGAAUCAUCGAAUCUUUGAACGCACAUUGCGCCCUCUGGUAUUCAGGGGGGCAUGCCUGUUCGAGCGUCAUUAUAACCACUCAAGCUCUCGCUUGGUAUUGGGGUUCGCGGUUUCGCGGCCCCUAAAAUCAGUGGCGGUGCCUGUCGGCUCUACGCGUAGUAAUACUCCUCGCGAUUGAGUCCGGUAGGUCUACUUGCCAGCAACCCCUAAUUUUUUUAAGGUUGACCUCGGAUCAGGUAGGGAUACCCGCUGAACUUAAGCAUAUCAAUAAGCGGAGGA